AAAUAACUGUCUCGCGCAACACUGCUUUGUUUGUCGUGUCAUGGCAAUCGAUAGUAUCUAACAGAAAAUAAAAAAAAAUUCAAUUCGUACCUAGUACGUGCAAAAAUUUCUAUUUCAUUUAAUUUUUUAUUCCACCGUGCAUUGAAUUCUAAGUAGAAAGUAUGUUUUUUGGGAAUCAGUGCGGUUGAUUUUACAUAAUGUGCAACAUAACGAUUUUUACACAAAGAAAGUGAAUUAUAUUCUGCUGCUGUAUGGUCAGAAGGUGAUAGAAUUGUGCUAUCCACGGACUAAGCCUGCACCAAGGAGUUUUUAUUCUCUAAGCACCUUUGCAAUUAACUUUGGUAUUUAGGCAUAAAUAAUCAUUCAAGGAAUUAUGCGGAGCGUACGAUACAAUUGUCAAUGCCUACGAUUUAAGCACCUAAGAAAGUAGCUGAGAAUAAAGGAUGUGCGGUUUGAUCUAAACAGUAAAGAGCUUUUGCUGAAUGUUGUAAAGACCGCAUGACAGCGGCGUAUAUUCAGCGCAUGGGCAUGUAUGAAAUACAAUUGGGGAACCAAUUGGAUACAUUGGUCAAGGUUCAACCGCAGAAAGAUAAAAUUUUUGGCUAUUCUUAAUAUUUUUUACCUCAAGGACAAUGAUCAAUUGAAUUAAAUUGACACAACAGAUAAACAAAUAUUAAUUAAAUGGAAAAGCGGCCUUGGAUGGACCGUUUUCAUAUUCCGAAAUGACAGUAUUCUACAGAAGUGAGGGAUUAUUUACAGGUAGAUAGCACUCAAUGACGAAGCUAAGGUGAAGUUCUUGUAAUAGCUUGAAGGUUGCAACGGAAGGUAAUUUAAUAGUUCCAUACUGUUCUUACAAGAAUCCGACAAAACGCUGGUAGCCAUGAAACAUUAACCAAGCCGCAAUCUUCCUUGCCAGCAAGAUAAAAAUUUCGAGAGAUGUAGAUGUGUGAUCCAAAUAAAUCAGAGAAAUGAGACCGUAAAUCCAUCCCCAGCAAACAGAUUAAAUAUUCGUAUAUGAUCCUGCAAAGCUUGUCCUCUUAAAGAAAGCGGUAUAUUAGCAAUAGCUCCAACAUUAUUAUCACCACUGACCAGGGGGCAUAUUCUCACAGUCACGUCACUUGGUGAUUAGAACAUUUCCUUCUAGUCACUAGGUGACGUGACUGUGAGAAUAGGGCCCCAGAACGCAGUACGUAUGUUUAGCCGACAGCAUCAUUUUCGAGUGAACUGUUGAUUCUCUCUGAAAGGAAUUGUUUGUCAUUAAGGUAUGAAAUAAAUAAAAUGAAUAAAUCUAGGAAUCAAUUAAACGCA
Molecule: long non-coding RNA, 1308 nt
Organism: Topomyia yanbarensis
Lineage: Eukaryota; Metazoa; Arthropoda; Insecta; Diptera; Culicidae
Exons: 3
Source: RefSeq, a predicted model, not a curated record